GCAAAAGAGAGACAACAGAAGAGCAAUGAGUCUCAGAAGGAAAACGGCUAUUGUAAGAAGCCAGCUCUGUCUCUGUCUCCGCCACCUCGCUGAAGGACCAGGAGGCCGACGUUUCCGAUGGACGCUGGAGGCCAAAUGUCGUCCAUCAUGACACCGGCAAACUCAGAAUCGGGUGAAGGCCAGCUCCCCGGGUCAAGGACAGCCGAUUUCUCCUGGUGUCCUCGCACGGAGGAAGUGCUGCUGGCCGGGGCCCAGAACGGACCGACCGCUCCGAAACAGCCGCUCUCGGGACCUUCGGCACCGACGGGGAAGGAACAGUGAACAAGGCAGAAUGGAUGUCAGCAGCUUAGAAAAAAUUCUGGAACAACAAGAACUCCAGCACCAAUAUAUGCUCAUGUAGGUUCCGUGAUCAGCAUGGAUCCCCACGUGAGGCUUGA
This is a long non-coding RNA of Neogale vison (American mink), 437 nucleotides long. RefSeq lists it as uncharacterized. The record is from RefSeq and is a predicted model, not a curated record. Lineage: Eukaryota; Metazoa; Chordata; Mammalia; Carnivora; Mustelidae. The transcript is spliced from 4 exons.